This 318-nucleotide ribosomal RNA is filed under the name uncultured bacterium. Its description in RNAcentral is "bacterial SSU rRNA". It matches the Rfam family "Bacterial small subunit ribosomal RNA", at positions 28 to 334 of the family's 1533-position model. The record is from RNAcentral.
GAUGAACGCUAGCUACAGGCUUAACACAUGCAAGUCGAGGGGCAGCGGGAUUGAAGCUUGCUUCAAUUGCCGGCGACCGGCGCACGGGUGAGUAACGCGUAUCCAACCUUCCGCUUACUCGGGGAUAGCCUUUCGAAAGUAAGAUUAAUGCCCGGUGUUCCGCGAGGGCCGCAUGGCCUUUUCGGCUAAAGUUUUUUUACGGUAUGAGAUGGCGGUGCGUCCCAUUAGCUUGUUGGCGGGGUAACGGCCCACCAAGGCGACGAUGGGUAGGGGUUCUGAGAGGAAGGUCCCCCACAUUGGAACUGAGACACGGUCCAA